This 714-nucleotide ribosomal RNA is filed under the name uncultured Bacilli bacterium. RNAcentral's name for it is "bacterial SSU rRNA". It matches the Rfam family "Bacterial small subunit ribosomal RNA", at positions 64 to 747 of the family's 1533-position model. The record is from RNAcentral. Lineage: Bacteria; Bacillati; Bacillota; Bacilli.
GAACGAAACUUUCUUGCACCGAAUGCUUGCAUUCACCGUAAGAAGUUGAGUGGCGGACGGGUGAGUAACACGUGGGUAACCUGCCUAAAAGAAGGGGAUAACACUUGGAAACAGGUGCUAAUACCGUAUAUCUCUAAGGAUCGCAUGAUUCUUAGAUGAAAGAUGGUUCUGCUAUCGCUUUUAGAUGGACCCGCGGCGUAUUAACUAGUUGGUGGGGUAACGGCCUACCAAGGUGAUGAUACGUAGCCGAACUGAGAGGUUGAUCGGCCACAUUGGGACUGAGACACGGCCCAAACUCCUACGGGAGGCAGCAGUAGGGAAUCUUCCACAAUGGACGCAAGUCUGAUGGAGCAACGCCGCGUGAGUGAAGAAGGUCUUCGGAUCGUAAAACUCUGUUGUUAGAGAAGAACACGAGUGAGAGUAACUGUUCAUUCGAUGACGGUAUCUAACCAGCAAGUCACGGCUAACUACGUGCCAGCAGCCGCGGUAAUACGUAGGUGGCAAGCGUUGUCCGGAUUUAUUGGGCGUAAAGGGAACGCAGGCGGUCUUUUAAGUCUGAUGUGAAAGCCUUCGGCUUAACCGGAGUAGUGCAUUGGAAACUGGAAGACUUGAGUGCAGAAGAGGAGAGUGGAACUCCAUGUGUAGCGGUGAAAUGCGUAGAUAUAUGGAAGAACACCAGUGGCGAAAGCGGCUCUCUGGUCUGUAACUGACGCU